Molecule: non-coding RNA, 101 nt
Organism: Zea mays
Lineage: Eukaryota; Viridiplantae; Streptophyta; Magnoliopsida; Poales; Poaceae
Source: Rfam
UUGCUUCCCGGAGUUCCUUCCAAACACUUCACCAGCUAGGCCAUGCACAAGAUGAACCCACAUUAGGCUAGUGAAGUGUUUGGAGGAACUCUAGGUGGCAC